UAAUGCCCUGAAUGAUGUUCAAU
Molecule: microRNA, 23 nt
Organism: Caenorhabditis elegans
Lineage: Eukaryota; Metazoa; Nematoda; Chromadorea; Rhabditida; Rhabditidae
Source: Ensembl